This 387-nucleotide ribosomal RNA is filed under the name uncultured organism. RNAcentral describes it as "bacterial SSU rRNA". It matches the Rfam family "Bacterial small subunit ribosomal RNA", at positions 526 to 896 of the family's 1533-position model. The record is from RNAcentral.
CGUAGGGUGCAAGCGUUAUCCGGAUUUAUUGGGCGUAAAGGGCGCGCAGGCGGCCACCAGCAGUGGCCCGUGGAAUCUCUCCGCUUAACGGAGAGAGGCCGGGCCAAACGGGGUGGCUUGGGGCAGGCAGAGGCAUGCAGAACGGGCGGAUAGGGGUGAAAUCCGUAGAGACCGUCCGGAAUACCAGUGGCGAAGGCGGCAUGCUGGGCCUGAAGCCGUAAGGCUGAACCCGACGCUCGGGCGCGAAAGCGUGGGGAGCGAACGGAAUUAGAUACUCCGGUAGUCCACGCCCUAAACGAUGGCAACUCGGUGUCGGGGGUAUCGACCCCCCCGGCGCCCCAGCAAACGCGGUAAGUUGCCCGCCUGGGGACUACGGCCGCAAGGCUA